RNAcentral lists this unclassified non-coding RNA (335 nucleotides) under soil metagenome. RNAcentral describes it as "partial contains 5.8S ribosomal RNA, internal transcribed spacer 2, and large subunit ribosomal RNA". The stretch from base 1 to 120 matches the Rfam family "5.8S ribosomal RNA", at positions 35 to 154 of the family's 154-position model. The record is from RNAcentral.
GAUGAAGAACGUAGCGAAAUGCGAUAAGUAAUGUGAAUUGCAGAAUUCAGUGAAUCAUCGAAUCUUUGAACGCACAUUGCGCCCGCCAGUAUUCUGGCGGGCAUGCCUGUUCGAGCGUCAUUUCAACCAUCGAGCCCCCGGCUUGUGUUGGGGACCUGCGGCUGCCGCAGGCCCUGAAAACCAGUGGCGGGCUCGCUAGUCACUCCGAGCGUAGUAAUACAUCUCGCUCAGGGCGUGCUGCGGGUUCCGGCCGUUAAAAAGCCUUAUUUACCCAAGGUUGACCUCGGAUCAGGUAGGAAGACCCGUUGAACUUAAGCAUAUCAAUAAGCGGAGGA